Homo sapiens (human) is the source of this 874-nucleotide long non-coding RNA. Ensembl annotates it as long intergenic non-protein coding RNA 879. Lineage: Eukaryota; Metazoa; Chordata; Mammalia; Primates; Hominidae. The record is from Ensembl.
GGGGCGACGGCCAGAAGUCCAGGGCUAGGAGCCUCAGCCGGCGGACGCCAGGAAACAGGAUUUCAGUUACCAUAAUAAUAUUGGAUCUUUGCGCUUUCCCACAGUUAGAUCAUCAGCAAAUGUCACUUGGAUCCCUAGCUAAAUUGUUCUUCCCAGAAAAUAGUUAUCUCCACUAUGGAAAGUAUUUUAUCAGAAGAAUUCGUAGAAGUAGAAUCUGUUUGUCUUCAGUUAAACAAAAGAAGAACCUCAUUGCUUUCCAACUGGGCCCCGGCCAUUUUCCAGUUGAAACAUCAAAUAUUUUAUUUGUGUCUUUCACUGCCAAUUAAAGGGCAACAGAAAUGGUACAGGCUCCCUCUGCAGUGGAAUUACCCUUAUGUCUUUUCUGUCUAUGCUGAUCCACCUGAUCUUGAACUGGUGCUAUUCCAUGGGGAAAAUUGGAACAUGGGGCAAUUAACACUUUCUCCACUUUAUCCCAUCAACAGGAAAUUGAAAUAUAACCAACUAACUCAGGAGACAUCAUGGAAGAUGUCACACAGUGAAUGAUGAUGAAGCAGAAUUUUUAAAAUGUGUAGGAUUACGAGAAGUGGGGUCAUUUUUCUUUGUGUAUGGUAUUGCUGAUGCAGUUUAAUGCUCCAUUACUUCUAAAUUUUCAUCAUAAGCUAGAUUUUCCAGUUGUGGUUUCUAUAAAGAAAAACAAACAUUCUGAAGACAGUUUUUCCAGAUUUAUUCCAGAUAUCGAUGAUUAACUUUUGAAGCUCCUCUGUUGAUUUGAACAUCCGCUGAAGCUUAUUUUUCACCUCAGAAUAGCAUCAACAUUAUUUGAAAUUCAAUUGUACUUUCUCGUUACAUUAAUAAAUCAUGGAAGUUGAGAAAA